RNAcentral lists this microRNA precursor (69 nucleotides) under Gasterosteus aculeatus (three-spined stickleback). RNAcentral describes it as "miR-430 microRNA precursor family". It matches the Rfam family "miR-430 microRNA precursor family". The record is from Rfam by way of RNAcentral. Lineage: Eukaryota; Metazoa; Chordata; Actinopteri; Perciformes; Gasterosteidae.
CAUGGCACCCUUACAAAACACUGACUUUGGUUCUCAAUACAGUAAGUGCUUUUUGUUGAGGUAGUUUUG